GGAUGUGAGGGUGAUCUGGCUGUGACAUCUGUCAUCCCAUUGAUCACCAGGGUUUAUGUGGCUGAUCUGGUUGGUUCCACCCUCACUGACCCAUGUACCUUCCUCUUGAAGCUGUGGACUCAGGAGAAGAGGACAACCACCCUGACAGAGGACUAUUUCCUGGGCCAAGGGUAACUCUGUUGCCCUGGCAGAACCUCCAAAUGAGCUCUCCAAUAAUAAUGCACAUAGAAUUAUCCAUGAUACAAAUAUUUAAAAGAAGUAAACACAUAUUAAACUCUGGCUGACACACUGAAUUGUUUU
This 300-nucleotide small nuclear RNA is filed under the name Octodon degus (degu). RNAcentral's name for it is "7SK RNA (ENSODEG00000024698.1)". It matches the Rfam family "7SK RNA". Rfam says of the family: 7SK was discovered as an abundant small nuclear RNA in the mid-70s but a possible function has only recently been suggested. Two independent studies have found that 7SK RNA binds the CDK9/cyclin T complex (known as elongation factor P-TEFb). P-TEFb activates transcription by phosphorylating the C-terminal domain of RNA polymerase II. Lineage: Eukaryota; Metazoa; Chordata; Mammalia; Rodentia; Octodontidae. The record is from Rfam by way of RNAcentral.